Drosophila novamexicana is the source of this 751-nucleotide long non-coding RNA. RefSeq lists it as uncharacterized. Lineage: Eukaryota; Metazoa; Arthropoda; Insecta; Diptera; Drosophilidae. The record is from RefSeq and is a predicted model, not a curated record. The transcript is spliced from 3 exons.
GCGGCAUUUUAGGGGUGUGAAUUUGACGCUCGCGUUGUACACUUUGCAGGCAGCUCAGCUGUUUAUGGGCGGUAAAUAUUGACGCGAAAAGUAAAUCAAGGCAAAGACGGACAUAUGGUUUAAAAUCGAAAACUAAAACGAGCAGCGAAAACAGUUUCUACCACUUAUGUUGACAAUAUGCAAAUGACACAACAAGUCGGCAGCGACUGAUUUCAAACUUCAAAACGGAUUCGCUGCGACGAGUGCAACGUCACGAAGCGAACAGAAACGAGUGCCGAACGAGUAUGAGAACUGGCUCAGGACACGGACCCGGACACUGAGCGCCUGGACCUCAACCUGAGACUCCCGCUGCGUCUGCUACGAGCUGCGUUCGUUGCGAAACUGUUUUGGUUUCAUUUUUUUCCCUCAGCCUUUAGUGGUUCGCAGCUGACUUCCUGCGCACAAGUUCGAGUUGCAUCCGAGCGUGGCAACUCUGUUCGUAUCGGGUUUGGGUCGGCUCGGUGGGGUGGUAAACACAACAUGCGUGCAGUAAAUAUACCAACGCUAGUUGCUGCGUUUGGGGCACGGCAAAGAUGACCUUCCUGACAAACGGCAGGAAGAAUCAAUUACACUGGAGAGCUGCAUCUUCUGGCAGGCCGGAGACCGACAACAACAGAUGGGCACAGUUGAGAUCAUUAACUUUCUCAAAUUACGCCAGACAGCUCAGCACCACUAUCUUUUUAUAAGCAGAACAAGUUUUUCUUUCUUCCCC